UUGGUUGACAAGGUUUUGGACAAAACUGGUAUGAAGGGUACAGGUAAAUGGACCGUACAGCAAGCUGCUGAUCUAUCAGUUGCAGCUCCUACAAUUGCAUCUUCUUUGGAUGCAAGAUUCCUCAGUGGUUUGAAGGAGGAGCGAGUUGAAGCUGCUAAAGUCUUCAAAGCAGGUGGCUUUGGAGAAAUUUUGACUGACCAAGUGGUGGACAAGAAGAAGUUGAUUGAUGAUGUGAGACAAGCUCUCUAUGCAUCCAAGAUUUGUAGUU
RNAcentral lists this unclassified non-coding RNA (268 nucleotides) under Hevea brasiliensis (rubber tree). The record is from RNAcentral. Lineage: Eukaryota; Viridiplantae; Streptophyta; Magnoliopsida; Malpighiales; Euphorbiaceae.